RNAcentral lists this ribosomal RNA (280 nucleotides) under uncultured bacterium. RNAcentral's name for it is "partial 16S ribosomal RNA". It matches the Rfam family "Bacterial small subunit ribosomal RNA", at positions 1066 to 1343 of the family's 1533-position model. The record is from RNAcentral.
CGUGAGAUGUUGGGUUAAGUCCCGCAACGAGCGCAACCCCUAUCUUAUGUUACCAGCACGUUAUGGUGGGGACUCAUGAGAGACCGCCGCGGACAACGCGGAGGAAGGUGGGGAUGACGUCAAGUCAUCAUGCCCCUUAUGACCUGGGCUACACACGUACUACAAUGGGUGUCAACAAAGAGAAGCGAAGCCGCGAGGCAGAGCAAACCUCAAAAACACACCCCCAGUUCAGAUUGCAGGCUGCAACCCGCCUGCAUGAAGUCGGAAGUCGCUAGUAAUC